UGUAGCUCAGUGGUGGAGCACUUGCCUAGUAUGCAUGAGGCACUGGGGUUUAUUCCCAGCA
This 61-nucleotide transfer RNA is filed under the name Ictidomys tridecemlineatus (thirteen-lined ground squirrel). Its description in RNAcentral is "Spermophilus tridecemlineatus (thirteen-lined ground squirrel) tRNA". It matches the Rfam family "tRNA", at positions 6 to 65 of the family's 71-position model. Rfam says of the family: Transfer RNA (tRNA) molecules are approximately 80 nucleotides in length. Their secondary structure includes four short double-helical elements and three loops (D, anti-codon, and T loops). Further hydrogen bonds mediate the characteristic L-shaped molecular structure. tRNAs have two regions of fundamental functional importance: the anti-codon, which is responsible for specific mRNA codon recognition, and the 3' end, to which the tRNAs corresponding amino acid is attached (by aminoacyl-tRNA synthetases). tRNAs cope with the degeneracy of the genetic code in two manners: having more than one tRNA (with a specific anti-codon) for a particular amino acid; and 'wobble' base-pairing, i.e. permitting non-standard base-pairing at the 3rd anti-codon position. The record is from Rfam by way of RNAcentral. RNAcentral also lists the same sequence under 1 other name. Lineage: Eukaryota; Metazoa; Chordata; Mammalia; Rodentia; Sciuridae.